Molecule: ribosomal RNA, 1707 nt
Filed under: Proxenetes fasciger
Lineage: Eukaryota; Metazoa; Platyhelminthes; Rhabdocoela; Trigonostomidae
Description: eukaryotic LSU rRNA
Rfam family: Eukaryotic large subunit ribosomal RNA
Source: RNAcentral
UUAGGUCGACCCGCUGAAUUUAAGCAUAUCAUUAAGCGGAGGAAAAGACACUAACAAGGAUUCCCUUAGUAACGGCGAGCGAACAGGGAAAAGCUCAUAACCGAAUCCCGUGGCGUUACGUCACUGGGAAAUGUGGUGUAUGGGUGUUCAUUUGUGGCAGUGCUCCAAUUCUAAGUCCACGUGAUUGUGGCUAAAAGCCCACGGAGGGUGCAAGGCCCGUAAGGAUUGGAGUAAUGUUUCUGCCGGAUACCCUUGAGUCGGGUUGUUUGGAAAUGCAGCCCAAAGUGGUGGUAAACUCCAUCAAAAGCUAAAUACAACACGAGUCCGAUAGCGAACAAGUACCAUGAGGUAAAGUUGAAAAGAACUUUGAAGAGAGAGUUCAACAGUACGUGAAACCGCUCAGAGGUAAGCGGGUAGAGCUGAAAUUGGUGUGGUGAUUGAAGUCUUCCGUCUUGUGCAUGUGGGUUUGUAGAUUUUUACGAACUACGGCCUAUAUGUUUUUUAUAAUGGUUGGCUGUUUAUCUCAUGCCUUAACCAAGAUCAGCAAAGCGCACGAGUCUAUUGCAGUCGGAGGUACCCAUUGAGUCUCUUUAUGGCUUGAUGGUCUUUAUAACUUCUGUUGUGGAGCUUGUGACGAGCUGUGCAUGGCGGUACAAGUCUUUUGUGACGCACAAGUGGUGACAUGGUUCGGUCUUUUGCUAUGACUCCUUUGGAGUUAUGGAUAAUAAGACUGGGCCAUUGUUACUUCCUCUGUGUAUUGUGCCAACAAUCUUGGUUUCUUUGUAAGCUUUCUACCCGGCCCGUCUUGAAACACGGACCAAGGAGUCUAACAUGUACGCGAGUUAUUGGGUUUUACGAAACCUAAAAGCGCAUUGAAAGAGAAGGUUUACUUUUGUGAACUGAGGUAUGAUCUGUGCACCCACGGGUGUGCGGCGCAAUACCGGCUUGUCUCAUGUUUUUUAAACGAGGCAACGCAAGAGCGUACAUGAUGGUACCCGAAAGAUGGUGAACUAUGCUUGCAUAGGUUGAAGCCAGGGGAAACUCUGGUGGAGGACCGAAGCGCUUCUGACGUGCAAAUCGAUCGUCAAAUGUGAGUAUAGGGGCGAAAGACUAAUCGAACCAUCUAGUAGCUGGUUCCCUCCGAAGUUUCCCUCAGGAUAGCUGGCACUUGGGAAAUAAACAGUUUUAUCCGGUAAAGCGAAUGAUUAGAAGUAUUGGGGACGAAAUGUCCUCAACUUAUUCUCAAACUUUAAAUGGGUAAGAUGUCUCACUCUCUUAAAUUAUGGAGUGGUGACAUUGAAUGUAAGUGCCUAGUGGGCCAUUUUUGGUAAGCAGAACUGGCGAUGUGGAAUGAACCAAAAGCGGUGGUUAAGGUGCCUAAAUAAGCGCUCAUGACAUACCACAAAAGGUGUUGGUUGAUAUAGACAGCAGGACGGUGGCCAUGGAAGUUGGAAUCCGCUAAGGAGUGUGUAACAACUCACCUGCCGAAUCAACCAGCCCUGAAAAUGGAUGGCGGUAGAGCGUUUUACCUAUACCGCGCCGUUACUGUAAGCUUUGUGCUUGGAAACAGUAACGUGUAGGAGGGCAACGUGGUAAGCAUUGAAGCUGCGGAUGUAAAUUCGAGUGGAGCUGCCAUGUGAGCAGAUCUUGGUGGUAGUAGCAAGUAUUCAAGUGAGAUUCUUGAAGACUGAAGUGGAGAAGGGUUCC